AACUAUAUGUUAUUAUAUAUAGCUAUUUCUGCUCCAUGGUGUAUUUAAAUAGCCGCAGUACCUUGACUGUGCAAAGGUAGCAUAAUCAAUUGGCUUAUAAUUAAAGUCUGGAAUGAACGAAUAAACGGGCAGCAACUAUCUUAGAGAGAUCAAAGGAAUUUAACAAUCAAGUGCAAAUGCUUGACGCUUUAAAAAAGACGAGAAGACCCUAGAAACUUAGUAUUUUGUUGGGGCGACAGAAUUACAACAAACUAAUUUUAUUGUACAUGAAGCAUAGAAGACAGAUAAAGUUACUCUAGGGAUAACAGCAUAAUUUACUAUAGUUUGUGACCUCGAUGUUGGACUAGGUACCAUAGUUUUUAGAAGAAACUAUUGGUUGCUCUGUUCGAGCAGUUUCACCUACAU
RNAcentral lists this ribosomal RNA (405 nucleotides) under Chilostoma achates. Its description in RNAcentral is "partial 16S ribosomal RNA". It matches the Rfam family "Archaeal large subunit ribosomal RNA", at positions 1908 to 2670 of the family's 2987-position model. The record is from RNAcentral. Lineage: Eukaryota; Metazoa; Mollusca; Gastropoda; Stylommatophora; Helicidae.